This 390-nucleotide unclassified non-coding RNA is filed under the name soil metagenome. RNAcentral describes it as "partial contains 5.8S ribosomal RNA, internal transcribed spacer 2, and large subunit ribosomal RNA". The stretch from base 1 to 122 matches the Rfam family "5.8S ribosomal RNA", at positions 35 to 154 of the family's 154-position model. The record is from RNAcentral.
GAUGAAGAACGUAGCGAAAUGCGAUACUUGGUGUGAAUUGCAGAAUCCCGCGAAUCAUCGAGUUUUUGAACGCAAGUUGCGCCCGAAGCCAUUCGGCCGAGGGCACGUCUGCCUGGGUGUCACGCAUCGUUGCCCCCCCAAACUCCGGUUCGGGCAGGGCGGAAGUUGGCCUCCCGUGCGUGCCUGCGCGCGCGGUUAGCCCAAAAGCGAGUCCUCGGCGACGAGCGCCACGACAAUCGGUGGUUUUUUUACCCUCGUUCCUCGUCGUGCGUGCCCCGUCGCCCGAACGCGCUCUUGCGACCCUUACGCGUCGCCUCGGCGGCGCUCCCAACACGACCCCAGGUCAGGCGGGACUACCCGCUGAGUUUAAGCAUAUCAAUAAGCGGAGGA